UUGUGCCUACGGGGGGCAGCAGUGGGGAAUAUUGCACAAUGGGGGAAACCCUGAUGCAGCGACGCCGCGUGAGUGAAGAAGUAUUUCGGUAUGUAAAGCUCUAUCAGCAGGCAAGAAAAUGACGGUACCUGACUAAGAAGCCCCGGCUAACUACGAGCCAGCAGCCGCGGUAAUACGUAGGGGGCAAGCGUUAUCCGGAUUUACUGGGUGUAAAGGGAGCGUAGACGGAAUGGCAAGUCAGAUGUGAAAGCCCGGGGCUCAACCCCGGGACUGCAUUUGAAACUGUCAGGCUGGAGUGCAGGAGG
RNAcentral lists this ribosomal RNA (305 nucleotides) under uncultured bacterium. RNAcentral describes it as "bacterial SSU rRNA". It matches the Rfam family "Bacterial small subunit ribosomal RNA", at positions 333 to 655 of the family's 1533-position model. The record is from RNAcentral.